Molecule: non-coding RNA, 429 nt
Organism: Elgaria multicarinata webbii
Lineage: Eukaryota; Metazoa; Chordata; Lepidosauria; Squamata; Anguidae
Source: the annotation of a RefSeq genome assembly
AUGAAGAGGAAGCAGAUGAGGAACAAGAGCAACUCAAGAGGACCCACUGACGAUGUCUUGCCCAGGGGACCUCCAAAACCUGAUGCCAGUUCAAACUCUCAGCCUGUGCUGACCCAGCCAGGAUCAGCCUCAGUAGCACCAGGGGGGACAGUGAAAAUAACCUGUGCUUCAAGCACUGACAUCAGCAUCAGCAGCAAAAAUGUAUACUGGUACCAGCAGAAACCUGGGACUUCUCCACGGUACCUCUUAUGGUAUUAUUCAGAUUCCAGCAAGCACCAAGGCUCCGGGGUCCCCGCUCGUUUCUCUGGAUCCAAAGACAACUCCAGAAACACCGCCUAUUUGAGCAUCGCAGAAGCCCUGGCAGAAGAUGAGGCUGAUUAUUACUGUGCUCUCUCGCAUAGCAAUAUGUGUCACAGUGAUGCAGUCUGA